This 253-nucleotide ribosomal RNA is filed under the name uncultured bacterium. RNAcentral describes it as "partial 16S ribosomal RNA". It matches the Rfam family "Bacterial small subunit ribosomal RNA", at positions 524 to 776 of the family's 1533-position model. The record is from RNAcentral.
UACGUAGGGUGCAAGCGUUGUCCGGAAUUAUUGGGCGUAAAGAGCUCGUAGGCGGUCUGUCGCGUCUGCUGUGAAAACUCAGGGCUUAACCCUGAGCUUGCAGUGGGUACGGGCAGACUAGAGUGCGGUAGGGGAGACUGGAAUUCCUGGUGUAGCGGUGAAAUGCGCAGAUAUCAGGGGGAACACCGGUGGCGAAGGCGGGUCUCUGGGCCGUAACUGACGCUGAGGAGCGAAAGCGUGGGGAGCGAACAGG